GGAGGUGUGUGUGUGUAUGUGUGUGUGUGUGUGUGUGUGUGUGUGUGUGUAUAAUGCAUGCACACAUACACACACACACACACACACACAUACAGAAAAGAACCCAUACAUAU
This is a small nucleolar RNA of Prionailurus viverrinus (fishing cat), 113 nucleotides long. RefSeq annotates it as small nucleolar RNA SNORA23. The record is from RefSeq and is a predicted model, not a curated record. The transcript has a single exon. Lineage: Eukaryota; Metazoa; Chordata; Mammalia; Carnivora; Felidae.